GGGCCCGCACAAGUAGUGGAGCAUGUGGUUUAAUUCGAAGAUACGCGCAGAACCUUACCAACACUUGACAUGUUCGUCGCGACUUUAAGAGAUUAGAGUUUUCGGUUCGGCCGGACGAAACACAGGUGCUGCAUGGCUGUCGUCAGCUCGUGUCGUGAGAUGUUGGGUUAAGUCCCGCAACGAGCGCAACCCUCACUUUUAGUUGCCAUCAUUAAGUUGGGCACUCUGAAAGAACUGCCAGUGAUAAGCUGGAGGAAGGUGGGGAUGACGUCAAGUCCUCAUGGCCCUUACGUGUUGGGCUACACACGUGCUACAAUGGUAUCUACAACAGGAAGCAAGACUGCGAAGUUAAGCAAAUCCUCAAAAGGUACCUCAGUUCGGAUUGCACUCUGCAACUCGAGUGCAUGAAGCUGGAAUUGCUAGUAAUCG
This 429-nucleotide ribosomal RNA is filed under the name uncultured bacterium. Its description in RNAcentral is "bacterial SSU rRNA". It matches the Rfam family "Bacterial small subunit ribosomal RNA", at positions 917 to 1344 of the family's 1533-position model. The record is from RNAcentral.